AGGGUGUAAACGCUGCAGACUUGGUGUUGGGAACCCUUCGGGGGUGCUCAGUGCCGGAGAGAAGUUGUUAAGUCUGCUACUUGGGGAGUACGUCCGCAAGGAUGAAACUUAAAGGAAUUGGCGGGGGAGGCACCGCAACGGGAGGAGCGUGCGGUUUAAUUGGAUUCAACGCCGAAAAACUCACCAGCAGCGACUGUUACAUGAAAGUCAGGUUGAUGACCUUACUAGAUUUUCAGAGAGGAGGUGCAUGGCGUCAGUGACU
Molecule: ribosomal RNA, 262 nt
Filed under: uncultured archaeon
Lineage: Archaea
Description: partial 16S ribosomal RNA
Rfam family: Archaeal small subunit ribosomal RNA
Source: RNAcentral